Molecule: non-coding RNA, 405 nt
Organism: Cinara cedri
Lineage: Eukaryota; Metazoa; Arthropoda; Insecta; Hemiptera; Aphididae
Source: the annotation of a GenBank genome assembly
CAAACGCGAUUCUAUUGAAAAUGGUCUUAUAUUUAAGUUCGAUAACGGAACAAUUUAUUCCGACAUUAAAACUAAACAGCGCGAUAAUGUCGUAUCCGCCCGACUCAAAUUUGCCGCGUCGCGCACGUCGGUUUGUGAGACGGAAACGGCACACGCGGGCGCGACGUCCUCUCGACAUUACGCGUUAUACGAAAAGACGUCGUCGCGGUUAUUUUCGGAGUUAUUUUUUUCGUCUUCAAUAAACCGCUGCAGCAGAGUCGCGCCGCCGCUGAGAGACAUAAUUAAUGCGUUACGAUUAUCACGCGACCAUAAUAUUGUAGUUUAUUGUAACAUAACAAUUGGAUAUCGUUCGUUAUAUCCGUACGCAAUGUACACACACACUCGUACACGCAUGCCGGAAUCACA